Molecule: ribosomal RNA, 454 nt
Filed under: uncultured microorganism
Description: bacterial SSU rRNA
Rfam family: Archaeal small subunit ribosomal RNA
Source: RNAcentral
GUGCAGCAGUCGCGAAAACUCCGCAAUGCCCGAAAGGGUGACGGGGGAUUCCAAGUGCCUACGCUUAGCGUAGGCUGUUCAGGUGCCUAAAAAGCACCUGGAGGAAGGGCUGGGUAAGACGGGUGCCAGCCGCCGCGGUAAUACCCGCAGCCCGAGUGGUAGUCGCUUUUAUUGGGCCUAAAGCGUCCGUAGCCGGUCUGGUAAAUGCCUGGGUAAAUCGUGGGGCUUAACCUCACGAAUUCCGGGUAGACUGCCAGACUUGGGACCGGUUGAGGGAGAGGGUACUCCAGGGGUAGGGGUGAAAUCAGCAAGGUAAGCUGAUGUAACUUGCCUUGCAAGUCACAAUCCUGUAAUCCUUGGAGGACCACCGGUGGCGAAAGCGCUCUCCUAGGACGGGUCCGACGGUGAGGGACGAAAGCCAGGGGAGCAAAACCGGAUUAGAUACCCGCGUAGU